AGUGAAUAGAUACCCAGGUAGUCCUAGCCGUAAACGAUACUCGCUAGGUGUCGGCCACGGUGCGACCGUUGUCGGUGCCGUAGGGAAAGCCGUGAAGCGAGCCACCUGGGAAGUACGGCCGCAAGGCUGAAACUUAAAGGAAUUGGCGGGGGAGCACCACAACGGGUGGAGCUUGCGGUUUAAAUUGGAUUCAACGCCGGAAAUCUUACCGGGACCGACAGCAACAUGAAGGCCAGGCUGAAGACUUUGCCGGAUUAGCUGAGAGGUGGUGCAUGGCCGUCGUCAGUUCGUACUGUGAAGCAUCCUGUUAAGUCAGGCAACGAGCGAGACCCACGCCCACAGUUGCCAGCGUACUCUCCGGAGUGACGGGUACACUGUGGGGACCGCCGCUGCUAAAGCGGAGGAAGGAAUGGGCAACGGUAGGUCAGUAUGCCCCGAAUAUCCCGGGCCACACGCGAGCUACAAUGGUUGGUACAAUGGGUAUCUACCCCGAAA
Molecule: ribosomal RNA, 495 nt
Filed under: uncultured bacterium
Lineage: Bacteria
Description: bacterial SSU rRNA
Rfam family: Archaeal small subunit ribosomal RNA
Source: RNAcentral